Molecule: ribosomal RNA, 2259 nt
Filed under: wastewater metagenome
Description: bacterial LSU rRNA
Rfam family: Bacterial large subunit ribosomal RNA
Source: RNAcentral
CCACAUGAUCAAGCUAGAGUGUUCGAUUUUAUCGAAUUCUCUAGUUUGUGAACAUUGCCUGGUGACGCAAUGUAUAAAGUAAAAAAUCGGCUUUGUUAGUAGAAUGAACUGGAAUGUUCAGCCAUAGAGCGUGAAAGCCGCGUAUACGAAAACCAAGCUGACUUUAUAUGUGGUUUCUUGAGUAGGACGGGGCACGAGAAAUCCUGUCUGAAUCUGGGAGGACCAUCCUCCAAGGCUAAAUACUCGUAAUCGACCGAUAGUGAACAAGUACCGCGAGGGAAAGGUGAAAAGAACCCCGGGAGGGGAGUGAAAUAGAACCUGAAACUGUGUGCCUACAAGGAGUCGGAGCGGACUUGUUCCGUGACGGCGUGCUUUUUGUAGAACGAUCCAACGAGUUAUUCUAUAGUGCAGCUUAAGGUGUAUACCGGAGGCACAGCGAAAGCGAGUCUGAAUAGGGCGCAUGUACUAUGGAAUAGACCCGAAACCCGGUGACCUAACCAUGACCAGGCUGAAGUAUCGGUAAAACGAUGCGGAGGGCCGAACCAAUGUAGUGACUGCUUGGAUGAGUUGUGGUUAGCGGUGAAAUGCCAUUCGAACCGGGAGAUAGCUGGUUCUCCUCGAAAUAGCUUUAGGGCUAGCGUCGCGCGGUAGCAAUUGGGGGUAGAGCUCUGAAAAGAACUGAGGCUGGCAACGGUACUCACUCUUACCAAACUACGAAUACCAAUUGUGGAAUCGCGGCAGUUAGAACACGGGGGCUAAGCUCCGUGCUCGAAAGGGAAACAGCCCAGACCAUCGUCUAAGGUCCCUAAAUCAAUACUAAGUGGGAAACGAACUGAGGCUUCUUAAACAGCGAGGAUGUUGGCUUAGAAGCAGCCAUUCAUUUAAAGAGUGCGUAACAGCUCACUCGUCGAGAAGCCUUGGGCGGAAGAUGUAACGGGGCUAAAGUAUUGUACCGAAGACAUGGAUUGCAGUUUUUACUGCAGUGGUAGAGGAGCGUUGAUAGUGCGCUGAAGGUGAACUGUGAGGUUUGCUGGAGAGCUAUCAAGUGAGAAUGUUGGAAUAAGUAACUUCAAGAAAGGUGAGAAUCCUUUCCGCCGAAAGAGUAAGGUUUCCUGGGCAAUGGUAAUCAUCCCAGGGUUAGUCGGGCCUAAGCCGAGGCAGUUUAGCGUAGGCGAUGGACAACGGGUUAAUAUUCCCGUACCGGUAUAAAAUUUUUGAUAAAUUGCGGAGUGGUAGUUUGAGCGGAUUCAUGGUUAUAUCCGUUUAACUAGUUAGAUUUCGAUCGAGCUAGGAGUACGAGUUGUAGGCUUUCGAGCCCGCGACGAGUCAACAAGUCCAUUCUGCCCAGAAAAGUUUAUUAGAUUAUGUUUUAUGCCGCCCGUACCGUAAACCAUUAAAGGUACUCAGGUCGAGUAGACCAAGGCGUACGAGAGAAUCUUGGUUAAGGAACUCGGCAAUAUAGCGACCGUAACUUCGGGAUAAGGUCUGCCUAGCGUAAAAACUAGGUUGCAACAAAAGAGUCCAGGCGACUGUUUAUUUAAAACACAGGUCUCUGCUAACACGAAAGUGGAUGUAUAGGGGCUGACGCCUGCCCAGUGCCGGAAGGUUAAGGGGAUAAGUUAACGCUUUGAACUGAAGCCCCGGUGAACGGCGGCCUUAACUAUUAGGGUCCUAAGGUAGCGAAAUUCCUUGUCGGGUAAGUUCCGACCCGCACGAAUGGCGUAACGAUCUGGACACUGUCUCAACCAAGAUCUCGGUGAAAGUGCAUUGGCGGUAAAGAUGCCGUCUGUCCGCACCAGGACGAAAAGACCCCGUGGAGCUUUACUACAAGUUUACAUUGAAUCGGGUUACAACAUGUGUAGAAUAGGUGGGAGCCUUCGAAGCAGAUGCGCCAGCAUUUGUGGAGGCAUCAGUGAAAUACCACCCUUGUUGUGAUCUUGUUCUUACCCUUACCGUUAUCCGGUAAGGGGACCGUGUAUGCUGGGUAGUUUAACUGGGGCGGUUGCCUCCCAAAGAGUAGCGGAGGCGUUCAAAGGUUGGCUAGCUUCGGAUGGAAAUCGAAGUGAUAGUGCAAACGCAUAAGCCAGCUUGACUGUGAGGAUUACAAUCCAAGCAGGUGCGAAAGCAGGAGUUAGUGAUCCGCUGUCCUCACCUUAUGGUGAAAGAGAGUGGUAUCGGCAGCGCAAACGGAUAAAAGUUACCCCGGGGAUAACAGGCUUAUAGCGCCCAAUAGUUCACAUAGACGGCGCUGUUUGGCAC